This is a non-coding RNA of Salmo salar (Atlantic salmon), 457 nucleotides long. Lineage: Eukaryota; Metazoa; Chordata; Actinopteri; Salmoniformes; Salmonidae. The record is from the annotation of a RefSeq genome assembly.
CCCACCAUGGCGGUCCUGCCCCCUCCAGUGUGGAGCUGCAGCAGGGGAAGGCCACUCUCAUGUGCCUGGCAAACAAGGGCUUCCCCUCAGACUGGAAGCUGAACUGGAAGGUGGAUGGGAGCAGUAGCAGCACCUGGGAGGUGACAGGGAGCCCUGGGGUCCUGGAGAAGGACGGCCACUACAGCUGGAGCAGCACCCUGACCCUCCCUGUCGACCAGUGGAGGAAGGUGGGCUCUGUGACCUGUGAGGCCACCCAGGGCUCCCAGACUCCACUCUCAGAGACACUGAGGAGAGACCAGUGUUCUGAUUAAUGAGCUCCUCCUCUGACUCCACUGUUUUUACUCUGUUCUGCACUCAGCGCCUCUCCGUCUUACUGAUCCAGCACUACUAGCACCACAGGAGGUUGGUGGAACCUUAAAUAGGGAGGAUGGGCUCAUGGUUAUGACUGAAAUGGAAU